RNAcentral lists this ribosomal RNA (447 nucleotides) under Ormyrus nitidulus. RNAcentral describes it as "eukaryotic LSU rRNA". It matches the Rfam family "Eukaryotic large subunit ribosomal RNA", at positions 2962 to 3401 of the family's 3401-position model. Lineage: Eukaryota; Metazoa; Arthropoda; Insecta; Hymenoptera; Ormyridae. The record is from RNAcentral.
UUUAGACCGUCGUGAGACAGGUUAGUUUUACCCUACUGAUGAAUGUCGCCGCAACGGUAAUUCAAUUUAGUACGAGAGGAACCGUUGAUUCAGAUAAUUGGUUUUUGCGGCUGUCUGACCAGGCAGUGCCGCGACGCUACCAUCUGCCGGAUUAUGGCUGAACGCCUCUAAGUCAGAAUCCGUGCCGGAACGCGGCGAUUUUGCCCCGCACGUCGUAGUUGGAUACGAAUAGGCCUCCGGGCCACGCACCUCAGCAGGCUGGCGACGGCGCCCCGGGAGAAACCCUGGGGUGCUGGCUGGCGGAUUGCAAUGUCACCUCGCGCGGGGAUAGAUCCUCUGCAGACGACUGAAGUGACCAAGCGGGUCGUGUACGUGGUCAAGUAGCCUUGUUGCUACGAGUCACUGAGCGUCAGCCCGACCUUGGCUAGAUUUGUUGGUUUUACACCU